GAAACAUCUUCGGGUUGUGAGGUUAAGCGACUAAGCGUACACGGUGGAUGCCCUGGCAGUCAGAGGCGAUGAAGGACGUGCUAAUCUGCGAUAAGCGUCGGUAAGGUGAUAUGAACCGUUAUAACCGGCGAUUUCCGAAUGGGGAAACCCAGUGUGAUUCGUCACACUAUCAUUAACUGAAUCCAUAGGUUAAUGAGGCGAACCGGGGGAACUGAAACAUCUAAGUACCCCGAGGAAAAGAAAUCAACCGAGAUUCCCCCAGUAGCGGCGAGCGAACGGGGAGCAGCCCAGAGCCUGAAUCAGUGUGUGUGUUAGUGGAAGCGUCUGGAAAGGCGCGCGAUACAGGGUGACAGCCCCGUACACAAAAAUGCACAUGCUGUGAGCUCGAUGAGUAGGGCGGGACACGUGGUAUCCUGUCUGAAUAUGGGGGGACCAUCCUCCAAGGCUAAAUACUCCUGACUGACCGAUAGUGAACCAGUACCGUGAGGGAAAGGCGAAAAGAACCCCGGCGAGGGGAGUGAAAAAGAACCUGAAACCGUGUACGUACAAGCAGUGGGAGCACGCUUAGGCGUGUGACUGCGUACCUUUUGUAUAAUGGGUCAGCGACUUAUAUUCUGUAGCAAGGUUAACCGAAUAGGGGAGCCGAAGGGAAACCGAGUCUUAACUGGGCGUUAAGUUGCAGGGUAUAGACCCGAAACCCGGUGAUCUAGCCAUGGGCAGGUUGAAGGUUGGGUAACACUAACUGGAGGACCGAACCGACUAAUGUUGAAAAAUUAGCGGAUGACUUGUGGCUGGGGGUGAAAGGCCAAUCAAACCGGGAGAUAGCUGGUUCUCCCCGAAAGCUAUUUAGGUAGCGCCUCGUGAAUUCAUCUCCGGGGGUAGAGCACUGUUUCGGCAAGGGGGUCAUCCCGACUUACCAACCCGAUGCAAACUGCGAAUACCGGAGAAUGUUAUCACGGGAGACACACGGCGGGUGCUAACGUCCGUCGUGAAGAGGGAAACAACCCAGACCGCCAGCUAAGGUCCCAAAGUCAUGGUUAAGUGGGAAACGAUGUGGGAAGGCCCAGACAGCCAGGAUGUUGGCUUAGAAGCAGCCAUCAUUUAAAGAAAGCGUAAUAGCUCACUGGUCGAGUCGGCCUGCGCGGAAGAUGUAACGGGGCUAAACCAUGCACCGAAGCUGCGGCAGCGACGCUUAUGCGUUGUUGGGUAGGGGAGCGUUCUGUAAGCCUGUGAAGGUGUACUGUGAGGUAUGCUGGAGGUAUCAGAAGUGCGAAUGCUGACAUAAGUAACGAUAAAGCGGGUGAAAAGCCCGCUCGCCGGAAGACCAAGGGUUCCUGUCCAACGUUAAUCGGGGCAGGGUGAGUCGACCCCUAAGGCGAGGCCGAAAGGCGUAGUCGAUGGGAAACAGGUUAAUAUUCCUGUACUUGGUGUUACUGCGAAGGGGGGACGGAGAAGGCUAUGUUGGCCGGGCGACGGUUGUCCCGGUUUAAGCGUGUAGGCUGGUUUUCCAGGCAAAUCCGGAAAAUCAAGGCUGAGGCGUGAUGACGAGGCACUACGGUGCUGAAGCAACAAAUGCCCUGCUUCCAGGAAAAGCCUCUAAGCAUCAGGUAACAUCAAAUCGUACCCCAAACCGACACAGGUGGUCAGGUAGAGAAUACCAAGGCGCUUGAGAGAACUCGGGUGAAGGAACUAGGCAAAAUGGUGCCGUAACUUCGGGAGAAGGCACGCUGAUAUGUAGGUGAAGCGACUUGCUCGUGGAGCUGAAAUCAGUCGAAGAUACCAGCUGGCUGCAACUGUUUAUUAAAAACACAGCACUGUGCAAACACGAAAGUGGACGUAUACGGUGUGACGCCUGCCCGGUGCCGGAAGGUUAAUUGAUGGGGUCAGCGCAAGCGAAGCUCUUGAUCGAAGCCCCGGUAAACGGCGGCCGUAACUAUAACGGUCCUAAGGUAGCGAAAUUCCUUGUCGGGUAAGUUCCGACCUGCACGAAUGGCGUAAUGAUGGCCAGGCUGUCUCCACCCGAGACUCAGUGAAAUUGAACUCGCUGUGAAGAUGCAGUGUACCCGCGGCAAGACGGAAAGACCCCGUGAACCUUUACUAUAGCUUGACACUGAACAUUGAGCCUUGAUGUGUAGGAUAGGUGGGAGGCUUUGAAGUGUGGACGCCAGUCUGCAUGGAGCCGACCUUGAAAUACCACCCUUUAAUGUUUGAUGUUCUAACGUGGACCCGUAAUCCGGGUUGCGGACAGUGUCUGGUGGGUAGUUUGACUGGGGCGGUCUCCUCCUAAAGAGUAACGGAGGAGCACGAAGGUUGGCUAAUCCUGGUCGGACAUCAGGAGGUUAGUGCAAUGGCAUAAGCCAGCUUGACUGCGAGCGUGACGGCGCGAGCAGGUGCGAAAGCAGGUCAUAGUGAUCCGGUGGUUCUGAAUGGAAGGGCCAUCGCUCAACGGAUAAAAGGUACUCCGGGGAUAACAGGCUGAUACCGCCCAAGAGUUCAUAUCGACGGCGGUGUUUGGCACCUCGAUGUCGGCUCAUCACAUCCUGGGGCUGAAGUAGGUCCCAAGGGUAUGGCUGUUCGCCAUUUAAAGUGGUACGCGAGCUGGGUUUAGAACGUCGUGAGACAGUUCGGUCCCUAUCUGCCGUGGGCGCUGGAGAACUGAGGGGGGCUGCUCCUAGUACGAGAGGACCGGAGUGGACGCAUCACUGGUGUUCGGGUUGUCAUGCCAAUGGCACUGCCCGGUAGCUAAAUGCGGAAGAGAUAAGUGCUGAAAGCAUCUAAGCACGAAACUUGCCCCGAGAUGAGUUCUCCCUGACUCCUUGAGAGUCCUGAAGGAACGUUGAAGACGACGACGUUGAUAGGCCGGGUGUGUAAGCGCAGCGAUGCGUUGAGCUAACCGGUACUAAUGAACCGUGAGGCUUAACCUU
This 2924-nucleotide ribosomal RNA is filed under the name Escherichia coli 96.0497. Its description in RNAcentral is "bacterial LSU rRNA". It matches the Rfam family "Bacterial large subunit ribosomal RNA". The record is from RNAcentral. Lineage: Bacteria; Pseudomonadati; Pseudomonadota; Gammaproteobacteria; Enterobacterales; Enterobacteriaceae.